Molecule: ribosomal RNA, 1035 nt
Filed under: Lophodermium pinastri
Lineage: Eukaryota; Fungi; Ascomycota; Leotiomycetes; Rhytismatales; Rhytismataceae
Description: SSU rRNA
Rfam family: Eukaryotic small subunit ribosomal RNA
Source: RNAcentral
AAUAUACCGUGAAACUGCGAAUGGCUCAUUAAAUCAGUUAUCGUUUAUUUGAUAGUACCUUACUACAUGGAUAACCGUGGUAAUUCUAGAGCUAAUACAUGCUAAAAACCCCAACUUCGGAAGGGGUGUAUUUAUUAGAUAAAAAACCAAUGCCCUUCGGGGCUCCUUGGUGAUUCAUAAUAACUUAACGAAUCGCAUGGCCUUGCGCCGGCGAUGGUUCAUUCAAAUUUCUGCCCUAUCAACUUUCGAUGGUAGGAUAGUGGCCUACCAUGGUUUCAACGGGUAACGGGGUAUUAGGGUACUAUACCGGAGAGGGAGCCUGAGAAACGGCUACCACAUCCAAGGAAGGCAGCAGGCGCGCAAAUUACCCAAUCCCGACACGGGGAGGUAGUGACAAUAAAUACUGAUACAGGGCUCUUUUGGGUCUUGUAAUUGGAAUGAGUACAAUUUAAAUCCCUUAACGAGGAACAAUUGGAGGGCAAGUCUGGUGCCAGCAGCCGCGGUAAUUCCAGCUCCAAUAGCGUAUAUUAAAGUUGUUGCAGUUAAAAAGCUCGUAGUUGAACCUUGGGCCUGGCUGGCCGGUCCGCCUCACCGCGUGCACUGGUCCGGCCGGGCCUUUCCUUCUGGGGAGCCGCAUGCCCUUCACUGGGUGUGUCGGGGAACCAGGACUUUUACUUUGAAAAAAUUAGAGUGUUCAAAGCAGGCCUAUGCUCGAAUACAUUAGCAUGGAAUAAUAGAAUAGGACGUUGCGGUUCUAUUUUGUUGGUUUCUAGGACCGCCGUAAUGAUUAAUAGGGAUAGUCGGGGGCGUCAGUAUUCCGUUGUCAGAGGUGAAAUUCUUGGAUUUACGGAAGACUAACUACUGCGAAAGCAUUCGCCAAGGAUGUUUUCAUUAAUCAGUGAACGAAAGUUAGGGGAUCGAAGACGAUCAGAUACCGUCGUAGUCUUAACCAUAAACUAUGCCGACUAGGGAUCGGGCGAUGUUAUCUUUUUGACUCGCUCGGCACCUUACGAGAAAUCAAAGUCUUUGGGUUCU